Long non-coding RNA from Triticum dicoccoides, 688 nucleotides. RefSeq lists it as uncharacterized. The record is from RefSeq and is a predicted model, not a curated record. The transcript has 2 exons. Lineage: Eukaryota; Viridiplantae; Streptophyta; Magnoliopsida; Poales; Poaceae.
UUCAUUUUCCUUUUUAGUUUGCCACAAAGCCUUUUUCCUGAUUUCUUUCAAUAUUGCCCCUCGAUUUUCAGCUUUACACACCACCGAUGCAUUAAAUACUCCUUCAAUUGUGUAUCCCCUCUCUUUCCUCUUUACCUUUUCGAUCUCCCAUCGAGCCAACUCUCUGCCCCCAAGACGGCAAGAUGUACCAACGGGGAGCCACCUGUUUUCUCGUCAUCGUCAUCGUCCUCCUUCUCCCGCCCCUGCUAACUUCCUAUCCAUGUGUGGCCGCCGCACAUGACCCACCGCGUCAUGCUCCAGGUGGCGGUGCUGGUGCGUGGGGUCAAACGGGCGGGCUUCAUAGUCAAGGGGGAAAUGUGUCAGGGAUGGGAGCUGCUAGGCGCUUGGGACAGAGGAUACCACUGAAGGACCCUCCCUCGCCAAUCCCUAACGAGAACUCGGGGGUGGUGAUUCCCCUGACGCCGCCGCCACCGCCGUCGAUCAAUUAAUAGGUGUUGGGAGUCUGGGUACGAGCAUAUGCCAUGGUGGCUUCCGUGCACCUCUGGUCUCUUACUAAUGUGUUACAAGAAUAAUCUUGCUGGUGUGAAAUAAGUUGUCAUGCUUCAGAGUCUUAAAAUGUAUUGUUCACUUCUCUAUAUAGAUUUGGACUUCUGAGGUAAAUGGCGGAAAUAAAUUAUUAUUUUUUGGA